Molecule: unclassified non-coding RNA, 21 nt
Filed under: Chlamydomonas reinhardtii
Lineage: Eukaryota; Viridiplantae; Chlorophyta; Chlorophyceae; Chlamydomonadales; Chlamydomonadaceae
Description: small RNA Cre_2727
Source: RNAcentral
UCGGUGCUCAUCAGGUAUAGC